GAGAAUCUAUGUGAGACAAAGGAUCACAUCAAAUAAGAGAUACUCGGAUUUCAUGAGCAUUCAUCAAAGGUAUGUUCCAGUAAAAAGAAGAAUUAGAACUUGUUGAUUUUUAUUUUAAUCUUUUAAAUUUGAAUUUCACUAAAUUUUAUUUUUUUGAUGUUAUCAAUUGAGUUCUUCAGAUUCCACUCAUGUUAUACUAAAAUUUAGGUUUUAUAUAUAUAUAUAUAUAUAUAUAUUAUUUUUUGUUUUUGAUUAGAUCCAUAUGGAUUUUAGAUUUGAAAAACUAAGAAAAAAAGACGUAAUCAGAUUUGACAUAAACUGAAUGUUGAAUUCAAGUUAUUAAGGAAUUGAGAUAUGGCUAAUGAAAUCACAAAUCUGUUCAAACUCCAUCUAUAUCCAUGUGGACCAUGUCUCUCUAGAUUUCAAGGUAGUGGGAAUAAGAGAGAAAAAAAUCCAUGUUAAAGAUAGCAAAUAAGAGAAAUAGAUCUUUCAACUUUAAUAAGCUCUAAGGUUUCAAAGAUUUAUUGGCUUAAGAUAUGAAAUAUAUCUUUUUGUUAAUUUUCAUCUCAUUCACUUAAAACUGGACUUAAAUUUUGGAUCCCAGCACACCAUCUCAGAAGUAUUUUAUGUUGUGUUUGUCUUUCUUGUUUGCUUUCUUCCUCUUACGUUUUCAAUAAAGAAAGAAAAAUAGACUAAGAUAUUUAGUCAAAUGGUUUGCUGGUGUCAUUUUUGUGUCACUAUCUGGGCUCAAACCCAUCAUAAUACAUAUAUUAAGGGUUUAAAAUUUUGGUCCUAACAACACCUCCCAUAUGUUUUGCUUUUCUCUAAUCUUUUGUAUAUUGUCAUAAACACACCUAAUUCAUGUUAAUCUCUUUUUCGUUGAUCUCUUCCCUCAUACGUUGAAGAACAACAAGUCCCUCUCGCAUUAGUCUUUGAGUGAAAGAGUUGUUUCUCCCCUCUCCUAAUCUCCUAUCAUCAUCAUCAUGUGGUGCAAGAGAAAACUUUAUGUGGACACAACCAUCAUAUCCCUAAAUCCAGAAGCUCUAAUAACAUCCACAAAAAAAAAUAUAAACCUAUAAUAUAUAUAUAUAUAUGCCAACAUCACGUUAGAAUUAAGUUCAUUACCAAACCAACAAAGAGAAACCCAAAUCGUUUUCUUGCCACGACCACCUCCAUCGUUAUCUUUCUGUCAAAGGGAUUUCAUUUUUAUUGACAUUUUUAGGAGCCUAGGUGCACACAGACACAAUGGGCUCCUAAAAAGAUGAUUAAUGAAAAUCAAAAACAGAAAAGAAAACAAACACAAAAAAUAAAACAGGCCACAUCCCAACAAAGGGGAAACAAAACCAACAGUAGAAAAAGCCCAUGAGACACACCCAGGCCACGAGGCCCACAAAGCCCACAAACCACUUUCGAAGCCGAAACUACGUCAAACAAGCAGCAGCAUCCGGUGAUCUUUUUUUUGAAUCUACUCUUUACUAUUCUUUACUAUUCUUUCGUUCGAGUUGAAAUUCAUGGUUGGUGCAUCUAUUAACCCAUCAAACUUGUUUUAAAAAACUGACAAGCCAAUCCCCUCGCCAAGGCCAGCCCUUAACAUAGUUCGCCGAAACAUUGCCUUUGACCCCCACCCCCAAAGGCCAGCCCUUAACAUAUUUUUCGUAUUGUUCAUGGCCCAACUUAUUUCAGAACCAGUCGUGUCCCUCAGUCACCCCUUUGGCUAAAUUAUUAUAUAUAUAUAAACAAAAGUUAGAAAUUUGUUUUGAAGUUAUUAGAAUCACUAGACUUUCAUUCUACCAAAAAAAAGAAUCACUGGACUUUCCACCAGUUUUCUACAUCAUGAGUGCAUCUCUUCCCCUAGAUUCUAUGUUGCUAUUAAUAGUAAGCUGACAUUCAGUUGGCCCGUCGAUGAGGAUGAGCUAUCUCACUUCGAGCUAACUCUUUGUUUUGGCUCUUAUGCUAUUUUCUUUUCGUUUGUUUCUCUUUGUUGAAUCACAUUAUUGGCAUUUGAUUUACUAUUCUGAGCUUGUGGCAUAGAAUUUGUUGACACACUUAAUCGUACGUUUUACAAAGGCUUAGACUUAAUUUUUCUUACCAUUGGUGUUGACCUACAUUUCUAGUUCACGGUUAUUAACACACUUGUUUUAGUUAUCCUUUUAUUUACUAGGCUGGAUUAUUUAGUUUAGAGGUGNNNNNNNNNNNNNNNNNNNNNNNNNNNNNNNNNNNNNNNNNNNNNNNNNNNNNNNNNNNNNNNNNNNNNNNNNNNNNNNNNNNNNNNNNNNNNNNNNNNNUGUGUUGAUUGUGUUGAAAAGAUCAAGUAUCAACAAAAGUGUACACAUACCAAAUCCUAACACAAGACGAUGAUACACACCUCUGAACUUAAUAAUUUAGCCUAGUAAAAAACAGGAUAACUAAAACAAGUGUAUUAAUUACCGUGAACUUUAAAUGUAGGUCAACAAAAAUGGUAAAAACAAUUAAGUCUAACUCUUUGUAAAAUGAACGAGUAAAUUAGUUGUGUCAAUAAAGUCGAAGCCACAAAGCUCAAAUUAGUUAAUCAAGUGCCAAUAAUGUGAUUCAACAAAUAACGAGAAAUAAACGAAAAGAAACUAGCAUAAGAGCCAAAACAAAGAGUACAUGAACCAUCACAGGUUUUUCUAGCAACUGCAUAUAGAAAGGACACUCGAAGUGAGAUAGCACAUCCUCAUUGACGGGCCAACUGAAUGCAAGCUUACCAUUAACAACAACAUAGAAUCUAGGGGAAGAGAUGCACUCAUGAUGCAGAAAAGUGGUGAAAAGUCCAGUGAUUCUAACAACUUCAAAACAAAAUCCAAGCACAUCGUGUCAAACACUUCCUUAAUAUCCACUUCCUAAAAUUUUGGAAAAGCUCAUGAAAGGGAUCAUUAAGGCUACGGAUUGGGAUUAGAACACGCUCUUGCUUUUGAGAUAUGGCUUUCAAAUCGCAGUCCACUCUAUUUGGCGGGAAGGAAACAAUCUACGGCACGGAGAAGACCCUUUACUAGCACAAAAACUUGAGAAAAUCAUCGACAAGAACGUUGGUAAUCUGAUCACUACGUUUCAUAUUUUGCCUUUCUACUCGGUGAUAGUAAGAUUUUAGUCUAGUUCUCAAUUCCUAAAGCAAUAUCAUGUCAUUGCAGUACUUAAGGUUAUCAAUCCAAUCAGGUGUGAUGCAAACAAAUGAGAUAUGAUCAAAAAUCACUAAGUCAAGCCAAGCAGAAUUUGGUUGUUUUUCUAACAGUCCUAGUGAUUGAUGCAGAAAGUAGUAAAAAGGCACAAAAAUGACCUAUAUACUCGAUCACAAGCCUCACUUCCAGAAGGAGGAUGUGAUCGAUUUUGGGGUCGGAUCCCACACAUCUUCGGUAGGAUCCACUUGGAUCUGUCCACGUCAUUAUUACAUAAUAAUCCUCUUGGAUUUCUAGAUGUUUCAUUGCGAGAAUCGAGUUUGACCUGUCGGAAGUUCGAUUCAGUUUAUUAAAGAGCUCGAUCUUUACCAGUACAGUGUUCGCUCGAGAAUCUCGACGAACACCCUUCACUUCGAGAAUCUCGAACCUUCCGAAGCGAGGAGAAUAUUGCUCGAGGUUCACGGCAGCGUCAAGACGCAAGAGUUCGGAGUCAACAAAAAAGGGUUCGGAAGAUCCACGUGAAGCCCAAGAUAGUUCAAAUUCAAGCCGUUUCGGUCAAAUUGUAACCUAUAUGAUUAAUGGGGAUCAAUGCAAUUAUGAGCAGUAAAUGACCGCAUUAAUCAUGUUUUCUCUAUAAAAACAACCUCAAACGCGUGUGUUUGAAGAGAACAACUUUUUCCUCUUACGAUCAAGCAAUACAACAUACUUUUUCUUUUAUAAUUUUGCAAGGCUUUUUACUAUUUUAUUCUUUCCAAGUUCUUUCGCUUUAUUUAGUUUCUUGGUUACUUCCCUUUUCAAUUCCAUAUUUUCAUUUGUUGAUUUUAGAGUUUUUCUCCACAAAAAUACUUAAAGACAAUCGAGUGUGAAUCCUACAUCCACAUUUUGGCGACGCCUGUGGGGAGUUACCGCAAAACUCUUUGAUCUCAAAAUCUCUCUUUUUCAAACCAAGAAACUAUGGCUGAUCAGCAAGCUUUGAGCAAUGCAAUUGUCUUGCUUACUCAGUCAACCACCGAUCUGACAAAUCAGAUGAGUACACUCGCUAGUGCCAACGCCACUUUUGGUGAAAGGUUAAACUCAAUCGAGCAAACUUUAACGAGUGUUCAAAAUACUCAAACAAAUUUGUCAAACGCGCAGAACGUUGUUUCAAGCCGUUUAGAUAAUUUGUCCUCAGCACAAACGACAGCGUAUCAGCGCAGGCUAUUCCAAACUCCCACACUAAACAGAUCCGGGAGCACUCAAACUCCUCCUACGGGUCGUCCUGCUAAUACUAGGAAUCAGACAACCGUAGGAGAUGGGUCCAAUCCAACCGGGGAUGGAAUCCCCAAAUCAGGGCAAUCCUGCUAUUGACGAAGGACUCCUUAUGGAAGAACCUGAUGUCAUCCUUUCCGAUGAUUUUGUCAAAGUUCGUCAAGACCUUGAUGAGAUGAAGUCAAAGUUUCAUCAGGUGACCUGUUCGGCACCUGAUAUCGAUCGAGUAAUCAAAGAAACUCGACGAACACCCUUCACUUCGAGAAUCUCGAACCUUCAGAACAAAGAUUCUCGAAAGGUCAAAUUACCAAUUUACGAUGGUAAAGGUGAUCCUAAAAAUCACCUCGCUGCUUUUCAGAUCACUGCUGGCAGAAUUGAUCUAGAACCAGAAGAGGAAGAUGCCGGAUAUUGCAAAAUAUUCUCUGAGAAUCUAUCAGGAUCGGCUUUAUUAUGGUUCACUCAGUUGGAGCCUGAAUCUAUUGAUAGUUUUAAGGAAUUGUCCUCCGCAUUCCUAAAACAGUAUUCCAUGUUUAUGGAAAAGGCAACCUCUGAUGCAGAUCUAUGGAAUUUAACCCAAGGUCAGAACGAACCACUUCGCAAGUAUAUCGCUAAAUUCAAAGAAGUGAUAGCCAAAAUUCCUGGGGUAUCACACGCUGCUGCCCUUUCUGCUUUAAGGAACAGACUUUGGCAUGAAUCCCAAUUUCGGGAAGAGAUCAUCGUCAAUCGUCCGAGCACUAUCCAAGAUGCUUUAUUCAGAGCUACUAAUUGGAUGGAGGCAGAAGAAGAAAAGCUUAGCCUCGCCAAAAAGCAUCGGCCAGCAAAAUUGGUUGUUGGAAAUCCAACUAAAAAAUUCGAACCAAAAGAUCAAAAACGGUUCGGAGUUAAUCCUGCUACUAAUGCCGUAGGAAAACCCUCCCCAAACAAAGGAAGAUACAAUUCUUCUAAAACCUGGGCUAGAGAUGAGAGUGCCUAUUGCGAUAUUCAUAGAGUAAAUGGGCAUUCCACCAAAGAUUGCAGCGUACUCAAAAAGCACCUCACCAAACUGUGGGCAGCUGGAGAGCUCGCUAACUUCAAUAUCGAAGAGUUUGUGGAAUCUUAUCAUAAAGAAAAAGAAGAUUCCGAAGCGUCCAAUCCUCUUGAAAAGAAACACAAGCCCAAUGGGGCCGGAACUCCGAACACUCCUAAGAAAAGGAUCGAUGUUAUAAUGGGAGGAUCCAAACUGUGCCGAGAUUCGAUCAGAUCAAUCAAAAGGCACAAGAAAUCAGCAGCAAUUCAAACCGCUGUGGGUUUCCAGUCAAAUGAACAAACACCUUCUAUCUCUUUCGACAAUUCGGACACUCAAGGAUUAACAGGACCUCAUGACGAUGCUCUUGUGAUAACUUUAGAUGUUGCGAACUUCGAAGUAACUAGGUGUCUAAUUGAUACUUGAAGCUCGGUAGAUCUCAUAUUUCUAAGCACUUUGCAAAGAAUGGGAAUCAGUAAGGCUGACAUUAUCGGUCCACCGGCACCAUUAGUAGCUUUCACGAGUGACACAUCUAUGUCCUUGGGGAACAUAAAACUACCAGUGCUCGCCGCAGGGGUUCCUAAAAUUGUAGAAUUUAUUGUUUUCGACCGUCCGGCCGCUUACAACAUAAUUCUCGGAACUCCGUGGAUUUAUCAAAUGAGGGCUAUACCUUCAACUUAUCACCAGUGUGUGAAAUUUCCAACUCCUGCAGGAAUCAGAACCAUUCGUGGAGAUCAGGAAACGUCGCGAUCUUGCUACCUCAUGGGACAUCGUUUAAAGCUUAAAUAGCAAUUAAUGAUAAACGCUAAGCAAGAAAUCACUUCGCGUUACCCAAGUGGUCUCAGUUCAAGUGAAGUUACCACAUAAAUUGAAAUUGAUUCCGAAUUUCCAGAUCGAAAAGUAAAAAUCGGUACUACUUUAGAUUCAGAAAUCAAAGAUCAGUUGGUAACAUUUCUAAAAGAAAAUAAACAUACUUUUGCCUGGUCGGCGAAAGAUAUGCCUGGAAUCGACAAAAGUAUCAUUACCCAUGAUUUAAACGUCGAUCCCAGUUUUAAACCAAUAAAGCAAAAAAGAAGAAAACUUGGUCCAGACUGAGCUCAAGCAGUCAAUGACGAAGUCGAUAAGCUUUUGAAAAUUGGUUCCAUUAGAGAAGUGAGAUAUCCGGACUGGUUAGCAAACCCCGUGGUGGUCAAAAAGAAAAACAGAAAAUGGAGAGUAUGUGUCGAUUUCACCGACAUUAACAAAGCUUGCCCAAAAGAUAGCUUUCCUCUCCCACAUAUCGAUUGGCUCGUUGAGUCAACAACCGGAAACGAACUCUUAACUUUUAUGGAUGCAUUCUCUGGAUAUAAUCAGAUCAUGAUGAAUCCCGAAGAUGAAGAGAAAACAUCCUUCAUAACAGAUAGAGGAAUCUAUUGUUACAAAGUUAUGCCAUUUGGUCUAAAAAAUGCCGGUGCAACAUACCAACGUUUAGGUAACAAAAUGUUUUCAGAACAUUCGGGCAAAACGAUGGAAGUAUAUAUUGAUGAUAUGCUUGUAAAAUCUCUUAAGAAAUCCGAGCACAUCACACAUCUCGAGCAAUGUUUCAAAAUUCUGAACGAGUUCGGAAUAAAAUUAAAUCCCGCUAAAUGUUCCUUUGGCGUGCCUUCCGGAGAAUUCAUGGGGUACAUAGUCACGGAAAGUGGGAUAAAAGCUAAUCCUAAUCAGAUUAACGCUUUCCUUACUAUGCCCUUCGCCAAGAAACAUAAAGGAGGUCCAACGAUUGACAGGCAGAAUUGCUGCAUUAAAUCACUUCAUAUCGAAGUCUACCGAUAGAUGUCUCCCCUUUUAUCAAAUUUUGAAAGGGAACAAAAAAUUUCGGUGGGAUGAUCAAUGCAAAGCAGCAUUUGGUCAGCUCAAAACUUAUCUGACAACACCGCCGAUUCUCUCAAAACCUGAAUUAGAUGAGAAACUUUAUCUCUACAUUUCAGUUUCUAACCAUUCCGUAAGUGGGGUUUUACUUCGAGAGGACCGAGGUGAGCAAAAACCAAUUUUCUAAAUAAGUAAAUCUCUUACUAGUCCAGAAACGAGAUAUACCAUGAUGGAGAAAUUAGCUUUAGCAGUGGUCGUAUCUGCUAGAAAACUCAGACCUUAUUUCCAAUCUCAUCCUAUAGAAGUACUAACUUCCCAUCCGCUUCGCUCAAUUCUUCACGGGCCAAGUCAGUCCGGAAGGUUAGCAAAAUGGGCAAUCAAACUCAGUGAGUACGAUAUAGAAUAUAAAAGUCGAAGUAGCGCAAAAGCACAAGUUCUGGCUGAUUUUCUAACCGAACUACCAUUAGAUGAUAGAAUCUUUGUUGAAACGGACUCUACGUGGAAAUUACAUGUAGAUGGAUCUUCUUCUAAACAAGGAUCCGGAAUCGGCAUUAGGCUCGAAACUCCGACAAAGGAAAUAAUCGAGCAGUCAUUUCGGUUUAUGUUUCCAGCUUCGAACAAUGAAGCAGAAUACGAAGCUCUCUUAGCAGGACUUCGGCUUGCUCUUGCGAUUAAAGCAGAAAAAAUAAUAGCUUGUUGCGAUUCUCAGCUAGUUGUAAACCAGUUCGCUAGAGAUUACGAAGCUAAGGCUCCUCGAAUGGAAGCAUAUCUUUCGGUUGUCAAAAAAUUAGCCGGAAAAUUCAAAGAAUUCGAAUUAGUUCGAAUACCUAGAGAAGAAAACACUUCGGCAGACGCUUUAGCUGCCCUAGCUUCUACCUUAGAUCCUGAACUCAAACGAGUUAUCACUUGUUGAAUGUAUUUCCUCGCGAAGUAUUUCGGUUGAAGAAACAGAAAACGAUAACAUUUCGGCGGCCGAAUACAUCGAAACUCCAAAACAAAGUUCCGGAAAUAGUUCACUUGUCAUCACCAAAUCACGAGUAAAGUCUCAAGAUGACGAACUUACUCCACCAUUGGAACUUCCUAAAAGAAAGUCAAAAAGAAAGUUAAAGGAUCAAGAGGUUCUCAUUAAAGAACCAUCUCGAACCGAACAGUCACUUAUAGGUGAUGUAGAGGUUCAUGAGACAAUUGAAGAUCCUGACAUUUCUUCCGAACCCGAACCAAGGAAGUUUAUACUCAAGGAUAAUACUUCCGCUAAUGAUUGGGGGGCUGACUGGAGGGUACCCAUCAAAAAUUUCAUUCUUAAUGGAGAACUACCAUCUGACAAAUGGCAAACUCGCAAAUUAAGAAUCAUCAGCGCUAAGUAUUGUAUAAUUAAAGAGUCAUUGUACAAGCGAAGCGUUAGUGAUCCUUAUCUUUUAUGUAUUUUCGGACCCGAAAUUGAAAUAGUGACAAGCGAGGUCUACGAAGGGCUUUGUGGUAGUCAUUCUUCGGGGCGAGCAAUGGCUUUCAAAAUCAAACGAUUAGGAUAUUUCUGGCCAACUAUGAUUUCAGACUGCAUUGAUUACGCCAAACGGUGUAUAAAGUGUCAGAUGCACGCUCCUCUUAUUCACCAGCCAUCUGAAAUUCUAUCACAUAUAUCCGCUCCAUACCCUUUCAUGAGGUGGUCGAUGGAUAUAAUCGGUCCGAUGCAUCGUUCAACACGAGGCGUCCAAUACUUAUUAGUUCUAACGGACUAUUUUUCAAAAUGGAUUGAAGCUGAAGCUUAUAUAAGCAUACAAGAUUCCGUAGUAAAGACAUUCUUGUGGAAACACAUUAUUUGUCGCUAUGGAGUUCCCUACGAAAUAGUAACGGACAAUGGUCCUCAAUUCAUUUCAAAUGAUUUUGAAGAUUUUUGUUCCGCUUGGGGAAUAAAACUUAGCUACUCAACGCCGAGGUAUCCUCAAGGAAAUGGACAAGCGGAAGCCUCCAAUAAAACCAUUCUCAGCAAUCUUAAAAAACGCUUGAGUGCUCGAAAAGGUGGAUGGUAUGACGAGCUGCAACCUGUGUUGUGGGUUUACCGAACAACCCCGAGGCGGGCAAUGGGCGAAACUCCAUUCUCACUAGUUUAUGGGAUGGAAGCCGUAGUCCCGGCCGAGCUAAAUGUCCCAGGUUUGCGCUGAAGCGAAGCUCCACUUAACGAAGAGUCGAAUUCUAAAUUAUUAGAAGACGUUCUUGAUACAAUCGAUGAAAGGCGAGACCAAUCCCUUAUUCGACUUCAGAAUUAUCAACAGUUGACCGCUCGAUACUAUAACUCAAAGUUGAAAAACAGACCUUUAAAUGUAGGAGACUUUGUUUUAAGGCGAGUGUUCGAUAAUACAAAAGAAGAAGGAGCUGGAAAACUCGGUAUUAACUGGGAAAGCCGUUAUCAAAUCGCUGAAAAAAUCCGAAACGGUGUAUACCAUUUACAAGACCUUGAUAGAAAUCUCGUUCAAAGGCCUUAGAACAUAAUCAACUUGAAAAAGUUCUAUUGCUAAAGCAAACACAUUCGAACUACGAUUUGGCUUGAUCCCAUUCUGGGUACGUAGGCAGCUCGCUAAUCACGAGUCCAGCUAUAACAUAAAAAUAAAAAUAUUAUUCCAGUCAUGGAAUCCUGUUUUUCUAAAUUCGAUAAUCGAGCAUGAAUAUAAAGAUACGUUGCGAACAAUGUAUAAAUAAAUAUUUCUUGCUAAGGUAAGACCGAAUCUAGAAGGGUCUUGAAUUACGGAACAACUCCGCUCCUUGACCAGCGAAGUCAACGAUGCUCAUAAUGCAACCUGGCAUGUUUUCGUACUCCUGAAGUCCUAGUUCGAUCCAAUCGGAAUGUUGGGCUUCGAGGCGAUGAAGCUCGCGAGAUAUAUCGAGGCGACGCUUCUCUAGCUCCAUUAUCCGUUUCCUAAUCUUUUUCUUCUCAUCUUCGAGCUCAUCAUGCCGAGUGAUAAGCUGAAGAAAAUAAAACGUUACAUUUAGCAAUAACAAAAAGAAGUUAAUCACUAGGAUGGAAAAUAUCUUAUUGAUAAACUCCUCAGCCUUAACGCGAUCUUGAGGCAACAAUCUCUCGAUUAGAACGAUCGGAACCUGAAUGCUAGUUCCCUUCUUCAAUAUUUGUGAAUCUUUUGGUUCGCCGGACUCUCCUGCUCUUAUAAGCUCGAUGUCCGACGUCCUCGAAGGAUCAACACUCAUCACUUUGAACAAGUCUGAAGGAUUCUCUGAUGAGUUACCUCCCUUGAACAUUUUUGUAGAAUUGUUGUUGAAAUUCAAUGACAGACUACACCCACUUUAUACUCGAAAAAUUAUUCGAUUGCAUUUAAGAGGAUUAAUUGACGAUUUCCCAAAUCUGAAAUUACGACUUCCAUGGAAAAUGUAAUCGAGUUAAUUACUAAUUAUAUUCCCUAGAUUAAACGCAUUAAAUAUGAUGAGUUAAUCGGCGAAUUUAAAAGCAAAAGGGGAAUGUAAUUAAUAUUGUUGGGCCUCUAGCCCAAUAGUUUCUACAUAAUAUAUAAAAAAAACUAAGAAGGAGGGGGGUUCGCAGGAGGAACUUCGUCUGAUGGCGAACCAUCUUCGCGUUCGUCGGGUUCGAGGCUCCUUUGGUAGAUAUCCCAAUGCUUCUUCAGGAACCGAAUGUGUUCUCGAAGACAGCCGGGAAUGCGGGCGAUAGAAUCAAAUCCCCUCCUCUCCCAGUUGUGAACGUCCGACUCCAAACGUCGGAUCUUCCUUUCUGCUCUAGCAAUCCGAUCCUCAAGGCUCCAAGACGUUGCCUUUCAGAGCAGAGGAAAACGUAUCUUUCCGUGAUCUGUAAAUAACAGAUACAUUACGAAUUUAUUAAGUAAAACCUUGAAACUAUUGGUACUAGGUUCAAACCUGCUCCAUGAAUUCAUGGCACUCGAUCUGUUCCUCCCGGGACAUGGAAGGAAGAAAACAAGGAAUAGCCACCCCUUGUGGAGUGAAUCCAUCCCCCGACGGGAAAAGAGAUUCACUUGAAGGGAAUCGUGGUUAGUUAGGACCGGAAGGUUCGCCUUGGUGAGAAGUCAUCUUUGAUCUAAAAAAGAAGACUUACAAAGUUCUUUAAAAAAAAAUCUAUCGAAAAAUUUCCAAAAUCCAACUCUCCUUAUAUAGAAAAAAUAUGUAAGGGCACUCACUCGAGUAUUUAUUGAAAAAGAAAGUUAAACGUCAAUUUAUUGAUAUGACUGUUAUGACCUCUCGGUUCUCGUGUACAUGCACAAAUAAGACCUACGAAAUAUAGGUUAUUCAAGUAUCACUUAACACCUAGUAGGCGAACUUAAUUUCGAACUCGAAAUUCGAAGACAAUCAAUAAAUGGUAUCACACCUUUUUAUCUCUUAGGGAAAGCAAACAGUUCUCACUAGAGAUUUCCCUAAUCGAACACAUUUGAAAUAUCGCAAAGUGUUCUUGUAAGCCGAGUUCUAACCUCGCAACCGAGAGACCGAGGAAAAAUUCCAAUGUUUUUUCUUUUAAAAAGGCAAGUAGGUCUGAUCAGCCUAUCUCUCCUAUAAUCCUGAACCACCUCGAUUAGGAGGACUUUGCAAACCCUCCAGGUAAAAUCGAUGGUUUCCACCAAGAUUAAAUAUUUCUUCCUAAAGAAAUUUUAAUCGAAAACCCCCUUGGGCAAAUUAUUCAAAACAGUAAUAGAAGCCCCCUCGGGCAGAAAAUUUGGAAAAGAAACAAACGGCCUCAUGGCCAACAAAGCGAAUUUCAUGUCUUUAAAUUAAAGGGACAAUCCCCAUAUAAGGUGAAUGCAAUCACCAUCAUUCAUUCACAGGCGAACCGCCUUCUUCCCUUACUUGACUUGAGACAAGAGUACCCCCAACGUCAUCGUCUUGAGUCACGAGAACCACUUCAAGGUUAAGCGAGCUAGCAUCGAGAGGAGUCUCGUUCCUCGAUUCAACACCGUCUCCCAUAAUCGAGGAGAUGACAAGCCCCUGAUCAGAGAGUCCCUGAGCUCGUCCCGAGGAGAUUCUGUCAACAUUGGUUCCAAACUCAUUAAAAUGAGCGCGAGGAGAACCGGUUAACACCAUCUCGUCCAAGGACGAACCAAUGUUUGGUUCGGUCAAUGGAGGGGAAUCAGCGAGUUCAGAAGCAAACUGCUGCAAAUUCAGAUAUGGCUGAGAAGCGGUAUUUAGCUUAGCUACAGUCUCAGCUAGCUCAGCACCAACCGUCUCUUUCUCUUCAGCCAAAUUGACUUUUCCGUCCUCUAUCUCUUUGAUCAAAUCGAAAUUGCUUUUCAUUUCAUCGCGUUCGGAGUUAAGCUUGUUCCAAGCUUUGUCUGCAGCGAUAAAUUCCUGCACAGCAAGAAGAAACUUUUGCCCAGCUCCCUUAACCUCCUUCCCAGCAUCAUGAAAUAUUUUGCGAACAUCGCGAUCUUUCAGUUCGGAAAGAGACUCAUUUUUGCGUUCGAGCUCCUCAGCAGCUGCUUUAACCUUGUUAAGCUCUGAUCUCAGAAGCUCAAUCUCGCCUUUUGCGAAGUUAUGAUCAGCAAGGGCAGUCUCUAGCUUUUGCUCUGUCUCAAUCAAAGUCCUCCUUGUCUCCUCGCCGGAUCUUUCGAGUCUCUCAAUCUCUUCUUGGCGAGCCGAGUCAAGGCCAGCAGAUUCCUGCACAAGUCGACUGGAAGAUUACAGUUUUUCAAUCUCUCCUUCAGCGGCAGCAACUUUCUUGGAAACUUUGGCGAGCUCCUCUUCGUAAAAUUUAACAAUGGCAUUCACAUCCAAAGUUGCCUAAUAAAAGAAAUUUCAUCGUUAAAAAAAUAUAUAUAUUUUCUUUCAAAAUCGGCUAUAUGAAGAUGCAAACAGUCAAACCUGGGAAGAGUGAAAUGAAUGACUGAUGUACAUCUUCUUGAUAUCAGGCUUCCACCAAUCAAAGGAUGGAAGCUUCUUCCCAACACGGGUGUGGAAGCACCUAAACAUAUUCCCGAUCUUCUCUUUAUCUGGAAUAAAGUUAGUUGUGUGAGAAUUGAGUUUUCUUUAAAAGAAAGAAUCUAUUAAUCUCAAACAACAAAAUGAUAGUUAAAGGUUACUGGCUUGAGACGAAGCUCUGACAACCAGUCCUGAGUUCGAAGAUGAUCGAACCCUAGAGGUAUUGCCUUGGGGGCGCCUAGGGGGUAACAUCCCUGAACCCAGCGGUUCCUUCAAAACAGUUCCUGAAUCAGGAUUUGCAUCUUGAGCUUUAGCAGGUUCAGGAAUUGGAAGAUUCGAAGGAGCAACUCUGCCCUUCCUUGUGCUCUUGGGACGUCCCUGGGCCAGGGGUCCAAGUUCCUCAGCCUUCCUCUUCUUCAUAAGAGAAGUGUCACUUGCAAGGCCUUCCUCCUCAACGGUGGCAGCGGCCAUGUUCUCUGCUGCUGGGAUGGAGGGAGAAGUAUUGAUCACAGCAACCGCCAUUUACUUUGAACCUUCAAGAGAUCCAUCGUCAACAAGGAGAGUUUUCCGGUAGAAUUUGUCGUCCUCGGUGGAAGUUGCGUUUUUCUUGUUUUUCCCGAUUAGGGAAAUCUGAUCUUUAACCUUUUUGUUUGCCUCUUUGAUCUUUCUCUUGUCUCGGGCAUUCAGACUCGAGAGAUCAAUCUCAGCAGGAGGAGGGUCGACGGGGCGAGUAAGUGUCAUUCUGACAGAAAACCCGGUGCCGUGAAUUCUUUCCAGAGUAAAAGAAUUCCAAUUAACUGGCCUCUCCAAGACGGCCUUGUAAAAAUUGAGAAAAUCGACGGAUGGAACUGGUCGAAUCUGAGGACUUGCGAGAAAACAAAAAAAAAUGUUGAAACACAGUUUGAAAUAACAAAGGGAGCUUAUUCAGUUAAGUCCCAAUUUCUACCCAAAUUCGAUGACCAGUGAGUUCGAGGGAGUUCGGAAGAACUUUGAAUAGAAAAAUUAUUUAUGCGGAAAAAGAACCAAAACUUCCUCCAGGUGGUGUCCUUUAAAGGAAGGCCAUCAAUGAGAUUCCGAUCCGCGUUUGGAUAAAGGGUAUAAUACCCAGAAGUUCGGGAUUCGCGAGCUUGGAAAAGUUCCAGGAGUUCGCAAAGUCCCAAUGAGUAGCCCGCCUCUGCCGCAACAGUGAGGGUACACAAAAGAUACCGGAGCAUGUUGGGCGACAUCUGGGAGAAAGCAAUUCCCAGAUGGUUGAGGUAGACGAGAAGCACCUCAGGAAGGGGAAGGAAUAAGCCGCACCCUUUGAAAUAAAUUUCAUAGGCACAGCAGUAACCUUCUCACCCCGAUUCGGGAGACUCGAAGGGCUCCGAGACUACCAUCUCUACCUCAGGGGGGAUGAGACAUAGUCUAUGAAAAUUGUUGAGAGAAUCGAUAGUUGAUUCACUCUGAGGGUGAAGAUCAAACCCAUCUCCGGUUUGAAUCUGGGAUUCGGACCCUUCACCCAUGAGAGCUUCGAGAUCGUCAGCCUCGUAUUCGCAGAAUUCGGAAGAAAGGUUCGACAUUUUACAAAAGGGAUUUUUUACCAGAAAGAAAACAGUGACUUCCGUAAUAAGAAUGAAGGUUUUCUAGGUAAAGCAGAUAAGAUGGAAAAGUAAUAUUACCUCUUAGAACCCUAAAGUAUGAUGAAAGACCGCCUCGAGAAUAUUGGGAAGUGGGACAGUUUUCCCCGUGGUAUUAAUAUAAAAUUAAGAAAUUAAUGAUGACGGUUGUCAGGGAAAUCAAAUCAUCUGAUUAUCCAAGAUCAGCGUAAUAGCGAAAAACAUGGAGUAAUUCCGGAAUGUUAAAGAUCUCGAGUCAUUAAUUACAGUUUACUUAAGUCUUCCAAGCCGAGCACUCAGCUCGCAAGACUUGGGGGGCUAAAUGUUGGAGUCGGAUCCCACACAUCUUCGGUAGGAUCCACUUGGAUCUGUCCACGUCAUUAUUACAUAAUAAUCCUCUUGGAUGUCUAGAUGUUUCAUUGCGAGAAUCGAGUUUGACCUGUCAGAAGUUCGAUUCAGUUUAUUAAAGAGCUCGAUCUUUACCAGUACGGAGUUCGCUCUUAUUCAACAUAUAGUUCGCAUAAAAGAAGGCCGAAGCGAGGAGAAUAUUGCUCGAGGUUCGCGACAGCGUCAAGACGCAGGAGUUCGGAGUCAACAAGAAAGGGUUCGGAAGAUCCACGUGAAGCCCAAGAUAGUUCAAAUUCAAGCCGUUUCGGUCAAAUUGUAACCUACAUGAUUAAUGCGGAUCAAUGCAAUUAUGAGCAGUAAAUGACCGUAUUGAUCAUGUUUUCUCUAUAAAAAAAACCUCAAACGCGUGUGUUUGAAGAGAACAACUUUUUCCUCUUACGAUCAAGCAAUACAACAUACUUUUUCUUUUACAAUUUUGCAAGGCUUUUUACUAUUUUAUUAUUUCCAAGUUCUUUCGCUUUAUUUAGUUUCUUGGUUACUUCCCUUUUCAAUUCCAUAUUUUCAUUUGUUAAUUUUAGAGUUUUUCUCCACAGAAAUACUUAAAGACAAUCGAGUGUGAAUCCUACAUCCACAAUCGAGUACCAGGGUCCAAAAACAGACAAUUUUCAAAUCUCAAUAGCAAGUAACAGAGAAGGUGAAUAAAACAGGUAAGUAACCAGAUAAAUCAAUUGGAUGAGAAACUCCUAAGGAUGGGGUAAUCGAAUAGUGUGGUCUCUCUAAUCAAUUGCGAUGGUUAACAAUUCUCAAUGAAGCUAUCCCUAGACAACAUGUUCAACAACAGAUCAAUUCACUCUCGUGAUAGAAAUCCUUAGACAAGGCUAGACAAAUCACCUGAUUCCCAUUAGCGUAAUCUAGCUAUGCAGGCAAUAAGAACUGACUGUUAAAGUCAAUAACCGCUCUAAACGGCCAAUCCCUUGGGAUAGAGACGAUUAUCACUGGAAUUAGUAGGUCCAACAUUCCAUUAAACACCUCAUGAGCGCUAGAAUGUCUGGGAUUGGAUUCCAGUUGAUCAGAAAGGAAUAAGCAGUAAACACAACUAAUCCAGAAGGGAUUCAAUAAAUCUACACUUAACCAUCAGAAUCGACAAGGGGUCGUCUCACAACUACUCUAUCCCAUCCUCAGAAAUCCUAGAUACUACUCAGACAACAUGCUCAAAGACAUAGAAACGAUUGAUGAUUGCAUAACUUGAAAGAUUAAAAGAAAAUGAAACAGAAAUGAACAAGAAAAUGAAAGCAAAAUCUCAAUGACUUAGAAGAAUCGAAAUACAAAGUUACAGAAGUAAAAGUGGCUACUAUAAAACAAGAGUAUAUCGAGAAUUCGGUUCUGGUCUCUGUCUUAGGGGAAACCCUUAAAGACUUAUUUAUAACAAAAACGACAAAGAUAAGAAAGUGGGCUUCGAGUCCACUUAACAGGCCCAUGGACGAUGUAAUCGAGUAUGUGGGCUCAAAGUGGGCUUCAUGGUCGAGCGUGAAUCGAAGCCGCGAUCGAGUGGUUCCUUCUCUCCUCUUCUUUUUCCUAUGCUCAAGUUGUCUGGUUGAGUGCAGAUUGAUCAGAGGGUCGAGGUGGCGAUCGAGUAGGUUGGUUGAUGGCAUGAUCUGGGCUGCUUCUUCUCUCCUGUGAUCGAGUAUGUGGGUAAACUGUCAGGAUGGACUGCCUCCUUUUCUCUACGAUCGAGUAGAACUGUAAACUGUCAGGAUGGACUACCUCCUCUUCUCUACGAUCGAGUAGAACUGCCAGGAUGGACUGCUCUUUCUCCUCUGCGAUCGAGUAGAUCUGUCUGAAUGGCCUGCUGAGCUGACUGCUUCCCUCUCUGCUACUGGUGAUCGAGUAGAUUGGUCAAAAUGUGACUUUCCGCUCUGUUUUUCCUCUUUCUAAACACCAAUAGCUCCAAAGUACCUGAAGCAACUCCAUAAUACAAAAUGCAUGCAAGACUAAUGCUAGACACACCUAAACAUGCAAAAUGUACAAAAUGAUGAUGAAUGCUAUGAAAGAUGAAUGAAACUAGACUCAAAAUGGUGAUAAAUGGAUGUGUAAAACAUGAAAAUUAUAGACAUAUCACUCGGCUUAAGGUUGUAAGCUUUAAAAGAUUAAAAGUUUUAAAAACGAUGCACUUGAUGUAACAAUGGUUUUUUUUAUGACGUAGCAGACAUCGACGAAUUGAUGAUAAGCCAAAGGGCUUUUGAAAGAAUGUGCAAUCUUUUAUUUCUCAAAGUCUACAAUAGGUUCGAAUUCAGCAUGUUUCCAUGAUUUCGACAUUAUUGAAUGUGGUGUCCAGCUCUUGAAGGAAAAAACAGACGGAAAAACCAAUGAUCUCUGGAAUACACAUGAAUCCGAUGAAUCGUCAGACAAAAACCAAGACGACGAUGAUAGUAUGGCUAGCAGGAGAUCCAAAUCUGAAUCGUGCACAGCAUCUGACAAAGAAGACGAUGAAGCCUCCAAAUAAAAAGAUGAGGAUACCAUCGAUGACGGUGACUACGAAUCCGUAUCAAGGAAGCGCCUGAGGAAGACGACUACAAUUCUAAAGAGGGAAAUUCAAAAACGAUGUUUUAAGAGAAAAAUGAGUCCUAAUCUGUGUUUAAAAAGUUUCCGUAUUGCAUUAUUGGAACUUCGGAGCAAAAGAAAGCCAACUCCAUCGAAAGUCGAAACAUGCUUAGGAUUCAGCAGUGGUGAGUUUGUGAUAUCCUCCAUGCAUUAGAUAUUCUGUAGAGACUGUUGGAUUAUUAGAGAGGAUGAAGAAACAGAGUAAGAGAUAAGAAGUUAUCUCUUCUCUUUUAAAGAAGAAAAGUAAACGAAAGAACUCUUUAUUGAAUCUGAAACUUGUUUUAUUUACUCGACAACGUUUUAGAAUAACAC
Molecule: long non-coding RNA, 17975 nt
Filed under: Arabidopsis lyrata
Lineage: Eukaryota; Viridiplantae; Streptophyta; Magnoliopsida; Brassicales; Brassicaceae
Description: long non-coding RNA (ALYR_LNC003436)
Source: RNAcentral